This 491-nucleotide ribosomal RNA is filed under the name uncultured bacterium. Its description in RNAcentral is "partial 16S ribosomal RNA". It matches the Rfam family "Bacterial small subunit ribosomal RNA", at positions 29 to 507 of the family's 1533-position model. The record is from RNAcentral.
AGUGAACGCUGGCGGUAGGCCUAACACAUGCAAGUCGAACGGCAGCACAGUAAGAGCUUGCUCUUACGGGUGGCGAGUGGCGGACGGGUGAGGAAUACAUCGGAAUCUACUUUUUCGUGGGGAUAACGUAGGGAAACUUACGCUAAUACCGCAUACGACCUACGGGUGAAAGCAGGGGAUCUUCGGACCUUGCGCGAUUGAAUGAGCCGAUGUCGGAUUAGCUAGUUGGCGGGGUAAAGGCCCACCAAGGCGACGAUCCGUAGCUGGUCUGAGAGGAUGAUCAGCCACACUGGAACUGAGACACGGUCCAGACUCCUACGGGAGGCAGCAGUGGGGAAUAUUGGACAAUGGGCGCAAGCCUGAUCCAGCCAUACCGCGUGGGUGAAGAAGGCCUUCGGGUUGUAAAGCCCUUUUGUUGGGAAAGAAAAGCAGCAGGUUAAUACCCCGCUGUUCUGACGGUACCCAAAGAAUAAGCACCGGCCAACUUCGUG